RNAcentral lists this ribosomal RNA (114 nucleotides) under Paramormyrops kingsleyae. Lineage: Eukaryota; Metazoa; Chordata; Actinopteri; Osteoglossiformes; Mormyridae. The record is from RNAcentral.
AAAUGCAGCCAUUCCACCUGCAGUUCAGACUAGGGAAUCCAUCUGAAGCAAGGCAGGUUUGGGCCCAGCCAGUACUUGAAUGGGAGACCACCUAGAAAAGCUAGGUUGCUGCUG